GACGAACGCUGGCGGCGUGCUUAACACAUGCAAGUCGUACGGUAAGGCCCUUUCGGGGGUACCCGAGUGGCGAACGGGUGAGUAACACGUGAGUAACCUGCCCACAACUUUGGGAUAACGCUAGGAAACUGGUGCUAAUACUGGAUAUGUGCUCCUGCUGCAUGGUGGGGGUUGGAAAGCUCCGGCGGUUGUGGAUGGACUCGCGGCCUAUCAGCUUGUUGGUGGGGUAGUGGCCUACCAAGGCGGCGACGGGUAGCCGGCCUGAGAGGGUGACCGGCCACAUUGGGACUGAGAUACGGCCCAGACUCCUACGGGAGGCAGCAGUGGGGAAGAUUGCACAAUGGGCGCAAGCCUGAUGCAGCAACGCCGCGUGCGGGAUGACGGCCUUCGGGUUGUAAACCGCUUUCAGCAGGGACGAAGCUUUUUGUGACGGUACCUGCAGAAGAAGCACCGGCUAACUACGUG
Molecule: ribosomal RNA, 465 nt
Filed under: uncultured bacterium
Lineage: Bacteria
Description: partial 16S ribosomal RNA
Rfam family: Bacterial small subunit ribosomal RNA
Source: RNAcentral